RNAcentral lists this non-coding RNA (239 nucleotides) under Andreesenia angusta. Its description in RNAcentral is "Eubacterium angustum T-box sequence". It matches the Rfam family "T-box leader". From Rfam's summary of the family: Uncharged tRNA acts as the effector for transcription antitermination of genes in the T-box leader family. T-boxes are found upstream of many aminoacyl-tRNA synthetase genes and some amino acid biosynthetic genes usually in Gram-positive bacteria. Lineage: Bacteria; Bacillati; Bacillota; Tissierellia; Tissierellales; Gottschalkiaceae. The record is from RNAcentral.
GUAGAUAUGAUGAUGGAGAGAAAAAUGCACUGUCCAAUUCAAGAGAGCUGACGAAACGGUGGAAGUCAGCAUUGGUAGGCAUAUAAUGAUCACUCCUGAAUAACUUAUCUGAAAAGACGUACAUAGUGUCUUAUUAGGACGAGUCGGCAGUCACCGUUAAAAGACGAAAGGAUUUAACCUUUAAAGAGGCAUUUAUGCAACUAGGGUGGUACCGCGGAAGUAGAUCUUUCGUCCCUAUA